UCUAGAGAUAGAGUCUUCCCCUUCGGGGGACAAAGUGACAGGUGGUGCAUGGUUGUCGUCAGCUCGUGUCGUGAGAUGUUGGGUUAAGUCCCGCAACGAGCGCAACCCUUAAGCUUAGUUGCCAGCAUUAAGUUGGGCACUCUAAGUUGACUGCCGGUGACAAACCGGAGGAAGGUGGGGAUGACGUCAAAUCAUCAUGCCCCUUAUGAUUUGGGCUACACACGUGCUACAAUGGACAAUACAAAGGGCAGCUAAACCGCGAGGUCAUGCAAAUCCCAUAAAGUUGUUCUCAGUUCGGAUUGUAGUCUGCAACUCGACUACACGAAGCUGGAAUCGCUAGUAAUCGUAGAUCAGCAUGCUACGGUGAAUACGUUCCCGGGUCUUGUACACACCGCCCGUCACACCACGAGAGUCUGUAACACCCGAAGCCGGUGGAGUAACCAUUUAUGGAGCUAGCCGUCGAAGGUGGGACAAAUGAUUGGGGUGAAGUCGUAACAAGGUAGCCGUAUCGGAA
RNAcentral lists this ribosomal RNA (514 nucleotides) under uncultured bacterium. RNAcentral describes it as "bacterial SSU rRNA". It matches the Rfam family "Bacterial small subunit ribosomal RNA", at positions 999 to 1510 of the family's 1533-position model. The record is from RNAcentral.